RNAcentral lists this ribosomal RNA (674 nucleotides) under uncultured Tomentella. RNAcentral's name for it is "eukaryotic LSU rRNA". The stretch from base 171 to 325 matches the Rfam family "5.8S ribosomal RNA". Lineage: Eukaryota; Fungi; Basidiomycota; Agaricomycetes; Thelephorales; Thelephoraceae. The record is from RNAcentral.
UUCAAACGGGGACAUGUGCACGCUCUGUUUACACAUCCACUCACACCUGUGCACCCUCCGUAGUUCUAUGGUCUGGGGGACCCUGUCUUCCUGCCGUGGUUCUAUGUCUUUACACACACUCUGUAAUAAAGUCUUAUGGAAUGUAUGCCGCGUCUAACGCAAUACAAUACAACUUUCAGCAACGGAUCUCUUGGCUCUCGCAUCGAUGAAGAACGCAGCGAAAUGCGAUAAGUAAUGUGAAUUGCAGAAUUCAGUGAAUCAUCGAAUCUUUGAACGCACCUUGCGCCCCUUGGCUAUUCCGAGGGGCAUGCCUGUUUGAGUAUCAUGAACACCUCAACUCUCAUGGUUCGCCAUGAUGAGCUUGGACUCUGGGGGUUUUGCUGGCCUGCGGUCGGCUCCCCUCAAAUGAAUCAGCCUCCCAGUGUUUGGUGGCAUCACGGGUGUGAUAAAUAUCUACGCUCGCGGUUGUCUGCCAGGUAACCUUUGGUGACAAAGGUUUGCUGGAGCUCACAGAUGUCUCUCCUCGGCGAGGACAGCUUUUUUGAACGUUCGAUCUCAAAUCAGGUAGGACUACCCGCUGAACUUAAGCAUAUCAAUAAGCGGAGGAAAAGAAACUAACAAGGAUUCCCCUAGUAACUGCGAGUGAAGCGGGAAGAGCUCAAAUUUAAAAUCUG